RNAcentral lists this ribosomal RNA (253 nucleotides) under uncultured bacterium. Its description in RNAcentral is "partial 16S ribosomal RNA". It matches the Rfam family "Bacterial small subunit ribosomal RNA", at positions 524 to 776 of the family's 1533-position model. The record is from RNAcentral.
UACGUAGGGGGCUAGCGUUGUCCGGAUUUAUUGGGCGUAAAGAGCGUGUAGGCGGCCAGGUAGGUCUGGUGUGAAAACUCGAGGCUUAACCUCGAGAUGUCAUCGGAAACCAUCUGGCUAGAGUCCGGAAGAGGAGAGUGGAAUUCCCGGUGUAGCGGUGAAAUGCGCAGAUAUCAGGAAGAACACCAAUGGCGAAAGCAGCUCUCUGGGACGGUACUGACGCUGAGACGCGAAAGCGUGGGGAGCGAACAGG